This 251-nucleotide ribosomal RNA is filed under the name uncultured prokaryote. RNAcentral's name for it is "partial 16S rRNA". It matches the Rfam family "Bacterial small subunit ribosomal RNA", at positions 525 to 775 of the family's 1533-position model. The record is from RNAcentral.
ACGUAGGGCGCAAGCGUUGUUCGGAAUUACUGGGCGUAAAGGGAGCGUAGGCGGUUUUAUAAGUCAGAUGUGAAAGCCCACGGCUUAACUGUGGAAAUGCAUUUGAAACUGUGAGACUUGAGUACCAGAGGGGAAAGUGGAAUUCCCGGUGUAGAGGUGAAAUUCGUAGAUAUCGGGAGGAAUACCGGUGGCGAAGGCGACUUUCUGGAGGGAUACUGAGGCUGAGGCGCGAAAGCGUGGGGAGCAAACAG